GUGGGGAAUAUUGGACAAUGGGCGAAAGCCUGAUCCAGCCAUGCCGCGUGUGUGAAGAAGGUCUUCGGAUUGUAAAGCACUUUAAGUUGGGAGGAAGGGCAGUAAGUUAAUACCUUGCUGUUUUGACGUUACCAACAGAAUAAGCACCGGCUAACUUCGUGCCAGCAGCCGCGGUAAUACGAAGGGUGCAAGCGUUAAUCGGAAUUACUGGGCGUAAAGCGCGCGUAGGUGGUUUUGUAAGUUGGAGGUGAAAUCCCCGGGCUCAACCUGGGAACUGCCUCCAAAACUGCAUGACUAGAGUACGGUAGAGGGUAGUGGAAUUUCCUGUGUAGCGGUGAAAUGCGUAGAUAUAGGAAGGAACACCAGUGGCGAAGGCGACUACCUGGACUGAUACUGACACUGAGGUGCGAAAGCGUGGGGAGCAAACAGGAUUAGAAACCCCUGUAGUCC
RNAcentral lists this ribosomal RNA (450 nucleotides) under uncultured bacterium. RNAcentral's name for it is "bacterial SSU rRNA". It matches the Rfam family "Bacterial small subunit ribosomal RNA", at positions 354 to 796 of the family's 1533-position model. The record is from RNAcentral.